AGUUUGAUUAUGGCUCAGAUUGAACGCUGGCGGGAUGCUUUACACAUGCAAGUCGAACGGCAGCACGGACUUCGGUCUGGUGGCGAGUGGCGAACGGGUAGGUAAUGUAUCCAGGUUUGUGCCUAGUAGCGGGGGAUAACUACGCGAAAGCGUAGCUAAUACCGCGCCACUUCGGGGAAAGCGGGGGACCUUCGGGCCUCGCACUAUUAGAGCGGCCGAUAUCGGAUUGGCUAGUUGGUGGGGUAACGGCUCGCAAGGCGACGAUCCGUAGCUGGUUUGAGAGGACGACCAGCCACACUGGGACUGAGACACGGCCCAGACUCCUACGGGGAGGCAGCAGUGGGGAAUUUUGGACAAUGGGGGGAAACCCUGAUCAGCCAUCCCGCGUGUGCGAUGAAGGCCUUCGGGUUGUAAAGCACUUUUGGCAGGAAAGAAACGGCGGGAUAAUACCCCGUGCAACUGACGUGAACACCUGCAGAAUAAGCACCGGCUAACUACGUGCCAGCAGCCGCGGUAAUACGUAAGUGCAAGCGUUAAUCGGAAUUACUGGGCGUAAAGCGUGCACUCGAGCGGUUCGGAAAGAAAAGAUGUGAAAUCCCAGAGCUUAACUUUGGAACUGCAUUUUUAACUACCGAGCUAGAGUGUGUCAGAGGGGAGGUGGAAUUCCGCGUGUAGCAGUGAAAUGCGUAGAUAUGCGGAGGAACACCGAUGGCGAAGGCAGCCUCCUGGGAUAACACUGACGCUCAUGCACGAAAGCGUGGGAGCAAACAGGAUUAGAUACCCUGGUAGUCCACGCCCUAAACGAUGUCAACUAGCUGUUGGGGCCUUCGGGCCUUGGUAGCGCAGCUAACGCGUGAAGUUGGCCGCCUGGGAGUACGGUCGCAAGAUUAAAACUCAAAGGAAUUGACGGGGACCCGCACAAGCGGUGGAUGAUGUGGAUUAAUUCGAUGCAACGCGAAAAACCUUACCUACCCUUGACAUGUCUGGAAUCCCGAAGAGAUUUGGGAAUGCUCGCAAGAGAACGGAACACAGGUGCUGCAUGGCUGUCGUCAGCUCGUGUCGUGAGAUGUUGGGUUAAGUCCCGCAACGAGCGCAACCCUUGGUCGGUAGUUACGAAGAGGGCACUCUAAUGAGACUGCCGGUGACAAACCGGAGGAAGGUGGGGAUGACGUCAAGUCCUCAUGGCCCUUAUGGGUAGGGCUUCACACGUCAUACAAUGGUCGGGACAGAGUUAGCCAACCCGCGAAGGGGAGCCAAUCCCAGAAACCCGAUCGUAGUCCGGAUCGCAGUCUGCAACUCGACUGCGUGAAGUCGGAAUCGCUAGUAAUCGCGGAUCAGCAUGUCGCGGUGAAUACGUUCCCGGGUCUUGUACACACCGCCCGUCACCAUGGGAGUGGGUUUUACCAGAAGUAGUUAGCUAACCGUAAGGAGGGCAGUCCCUCCUGUCGGAAUUCACCGACUGGAGGUGAAGUCGUAACAAAGCAACCUGGCAACCACACCACAUUACCGGGUAUUAUG
RNAcentral lists this ribosomal RNA (1518 nucleotides) under uncultured Bordetella sp. Its description in RNAcentral is "partial 16S-23S ribosomal RNA intergenic spacer". It matches the Rfam family "Bacterial small subunit ribosomal RNA". The record is from RNAcentral. Lineage: Bacteria; Pseudomonadati; Pseudomonadota; Betaproteobacteria; Burkholderiales; Alcaligenaceae.